This 316-nucleotide long non-coding RNA is filed under the name Chinchilla lanigera (long-tailed chinchilla). RNAcentral describes it as "lncRNA (ENSCLAG00000026365.1)". The record is from RNAcentral. Lineage: Eukaryota; Metazoa; Chordata; Mammalia; Rodentia; Chinchillidae.
CGGGCAGGGAAUGAAAGGCCAAGCUCUAGCCACCUCCAGCAAGGUGUCAGGGAGAGCCCGCAGAUGGACAUACUGAACACAACCACUGGCUGGUGCUGAAGGAGCCUGGGCAGCGUGUUCUGGAGCAGGUAGGUACAUCAUACAUGAGCACUGGAUGAAGGGUGGCCAACUCCUGCCUGACAGAACUGAGUGGAGAAGCACAUGAGAAUAGAAGCAAAAUGCUGCAGAACUAAAGCCAAGAAACACUUCAAAUAAGAUAGGGUAGGUCCAGUAAGACAAAAUCCAAGUCUAGAAGCCUGGGUCAUUCUAGUUAAAC